Molecule: microRNA precursor, 82 nt
Filed under: Oreochromis niloticus (Nile tilapia)
Lineage: Eukaryota; Metazoa; Chordata; Actinopteri; Cichliformes; Cichlidae
Also listed under: 1 other name
Description: mir-130 microRNA precursor family
Rfam family: mir-130 microRNA precursor family
About the family: The hairpin precursors (represented here) are predicted based on base pairing and cross-species conservation -- their extents are not known. In this case the mature sequence is excised from the 3' arm of the hairpin.
Source: Rfam by way of RNAcentral
CUCUGCUUGAUACUCUUUCCCUGUUGCACUACUGUGGGAGAUGCAGCAAGCAGUGCAAUAAUGAAAGGGCAUCAGUCAGCUG